ACGUUGUAGGCCUCCUCCAUUCAAUAAAAUAAAAAUGAAGGUUUCUUGCUUCUUGCUUCUCCUGGUGAUUUGUUUAGCUAUGAUGAUGCUAGACCAUCAGCCAAGCACAGGCUACAAAGCAAUGGCCUUAGUCUUGGACUGCAGUCCUGAAAUGGGUAAGGUUAAAAUUGCUUCUACCGACCAUUUCUCCACGGAAGUAAAGGUGGGGCAGCGAGGAAGGAGAUCCCGGAGGGCAAUUCCAUCACCACCUCCCCCAAAACCCAAUAGAUUGGGUCGUUGGAAGUGGAUCGCUCCACCCGUAUUUGGUGCCCCUCCGACACCGACACCACCUAUGCCAUCGUCGCCGCCGCCCCCAUCUCCACUAUCGUCAUCUAAAGGCGCAUGAAUUUUAGAGUAGCAUAUGAAAACGUUUUCGUUUUCUCUGUUCUUUUUUAUUUUUAUUUUGAUUUUUUUUAUUUGCGAGUUCUUGUUGUGGCAAGAGAUGAAUGUAUUUCAUCUUUUUCUCUAUGGCCAAGUCAUGGCAAUGGAGAUAUGGAAGAUGGAAAAAUCCAAUAAAAAUCUAGCUCAUUUCCUUUAAUGACAUGGGGCCUCUGAGAUUUACCUCUUGUUUUUCUUCCUUAAUUUAUACUCCAUUUGUUGUUCCGAUUUGCUGGUCUAGAGCCUGCAGUUUAUGUGCAUGAGGAAAUUCAAGUUUUCAAA
Populus trichocarpa (black cottonwood) is the source of this 699-nucleotide long non-coding RNA. RefSeq lists it as uncharacterized. NCBI's taxonomy places the organism in Eukaryota, Viridiplantae, Streptophyta, Magnoliopsida, Malpighiales, Salicaceae. The transcript is spliced from 2 exons. The record is from RefSeq and is a predicted model, not a curated record.